This is a long non-coding RNA of Acanthaster planci (crown-of-thorns starfish), 921 nucleotides long. The record is from RefSeq and is a predicted model, not a curated record. NCBI's taxonomy places the organism in Eukaryota, Metazoa, Echinodermata, Asteroidea, Valvatida, Acanthasteridae.
GAAGGAAGACAGGAGACAUAGAGAACCCGCCUUCCCCCUACUUUGAGUUGGUCAUUGUUCCACUUGAAUUUGAGUAAUUCUUUACAGACAUGGUGGAUGCUACAGUAGGUGACAAUAGUCCACAGCAUGUAUAAUCCUUAAGACCAGAAACUGAAAUCCGUCUUGCUGAGCUGUAAACGUUUUCAGAGAAUACACACGGGGGAUAAGAUCAGUUCAUCUUUUGAGGAAGUCCUUGAAGAAUAUAACAUCAAGAGCAAAGUCAACUACAUCAUCACGGACAAUGCAUCAAAUAUGAAGAAGGCCUUCAAGGUGCAAUUUCCCCAGGAUGAGGACGAAGGAGAGACGAACGAGCUAGAAGAAUUGGCUGAACAAGAACUAAUGCCUAAUGACCUUGAUGACGAGACAGUAUGGGAAGAGCUGGCAGCAGAGGAUGAAGAAGCAGUCAACGAUGUCUUGAGCAUGAAUUCAAAGAAGCGGCUGUCUUGUUUUGCUCACUCCUUGCAGCUCGUCGUUAAGGAUGGUAUUAAAGAGAUGAAAGGUACCGUAAUUGAGUCAGCAUAUCCUAAAAGCAUAUAAACUAUCGGCACUACUUCACAGGAGCACCAUCUUCAAAGAAAGACCACAAGAAACUCAGUGAUGCUUGUGGCGAGGACUUCAAUGCUGUUCCUUUCUCAACAAGAGAAUGGAGCCAGAUGACAGAGCUUUGUUUGGUAUUGCUGCCCUUUUCUGAGGCAACAGCACUGACACAAGGUGACCAAGUUGUUACAAUCAGCAUGGUUGUACCAACUGUACUGGACCUCUACAACCACAUGAUGAAGACCAAAGAAACAGCAAGACACUGCAGGGUUCUCAUAAGCAAGCUGGCUGAAUCACUCCAGAAACGAUUUCAAGGGAUUUUUGCAUCAUGCAACAUGGUGCAAG